GAUGAACGUUGGCGGCGUGCCUAAUACAUGCAAGUCGAGCGAACGGACGAGAAGCUUGCUUCUCUGAUGUUAGCGGCGGACGGGUGAGUAACACGUGGAUAACCUACCUAUAAGACUGGAAUAACUUCGGGAAACCGGAGCUAAUACCGGAUAAUAUUUUGAACCGCAUGGUUCAAAAGUGAAAGACGGUCUUGCUGUCACUUAUAGAUGGAUCCGCGCUGCAUUAGCUAGUUGGUAAGGUAACGGCUUACCAAGGCAACGAUGCAUAGCCGACCUGAGAGGGUGAUCGGCCACACUGGAACUGAGACACGGUCCAGACUCCUACGGGAGGCAGCAGUAGGGAAUCUUCCGCAAUGGGCGAAAGCCUGACGGAGCAACGCCGCGUGAGUGAUGAAGGUCUUCGGAUCGUAAAACUCUGUUAUUAGGGAAGAACAUAUGUGUAAGUAACUGUGCACAUCUUGACGGUACCUAAUCAGAAAGCCACGGCUAACUACGUG
This 497-nucleotide ribosomal RNA is filed under the name uncultured bacterium. RNAcentral's name for it is "partial 16S ribosomal RNA". It matches the Rfam family "Bacterial small subunit ribosomal RNA", at positions 28 to 507 of the family's 1533-position model. The record is from RNAcentral.